RNAcentral lists this ribosomal RNA (491 nucleotides) under uncultured bacterium. Its description in RNAcentral is "partial 16S ribosomal RNA". It matches the Rfam family "Bacterial small subunit ribosomal RNA", at positions 29 to 507 of the family's 1533-position model. The record is from RNAcentral.
GUGAACGCUGGCGGUAGGCCUAACACAUGCAAGUCGAACGGCAGCACAGUAAGAGCUUGCUCUUACGGGUGGCGAGUGGCGGACGGGUGAGGAAUACAUCGGAAUCUACUUUUUCGUGGGGGAUAACGUAGGGAAACUUAUGCUAAUACCGCAUACGACCUACGGGUGAAAGCAGGGGAUCUUCGGACCUUGCGCGAUUGAAUGAGCCGAUGUCGGAUUAGCUAGUUGGCGGGGUAAAGGCCCACCAAGGCGACGAUCCGUAGCUGGUCUGAGAGGAUGAUCAGCCACACUGGAACUGAGACACGGUCCAGACUCCUACGGGAGGCAGCAGUGGGGAAUAUUGGACAAUGGGCGCAGGCCUGAUCCAGCCAUACCGCGUGGGUGAAGAAGGCCUUCGGGUUGUAAAGCCCUUUUGUUGGGAAAGAAAAGCAGCAGGUUAAUACCCCGCUGUUCUGACGGUACCCAAAGAAUAAGCACCGGCUAACUUCGUG